GGUCGCAAGUUAAAAGUAUUAGAUCAGCAAGUUAAGAGUCUAAGAAAAAAAAUCACGGAAAGUGAAAAAAAAAGUAAAAUCUAUAGUACGGUUUUUUAUGAGUCAAUGUAAAAAGUGUUAAAAUAGUGCGCGGAUAAACGAAUAGACAAGAAAAAGGUCCACAAUCAGGGCCUUUUUCUUCUCAUUCGGAACAGGUUCCGAUUAUUUCGUUCGACCGUGUAAGGUACAACCAAAGCCAGUGGUUCCACAGCGUCGGCGCAAGGACUAUGAUUCCGAUGGAAUAACUCUCGAUCUAGUGGAAGUGUAGUGAUGAUUUCCAUUGUGGUGGUAAACGGCUGGGCGAAACAAAGUGUCCCGAAGAAACGGUCUGAAAACUCGCCGACCUUAAUUUCGUUCUGGCCAUGUUCGAAUUUGGCGAUCAGCAAAGGACCAUCCGAGCAGAGUCACUGUUAGAAGCUUCGUUAGCCGACGCCUGCGGAGGCCAUUUUGUUUCGGCCAUGUUUGAAUUCGACGAUCAUACAAGUACCAUUCCAGCGGCGUUCUAUUCGGCCGUGAUAGGAGCGUUAACCCACCAUCGGCCGUCAGUCAUGUUCUUGCCCUCCCAAAAUAAGACCAUCAUCGCUACCACCUCAUCGACAAACUCUAUCGCUACCACCGCAUCGACAAGCUACCAAGCCAUUCCGGAUACAGGGCAUGACGAUGCCCUGGAAGCAAGUACCCUACCAUUUGUGACGUCAGGUCAAGACUAGUCUAAGAGAGAACCCCCCCCCCCAUGUGUAAUAAAAUUAAG
This is a long non-coding RNA of Armigeres subalbatus, 790 nucleotides long. RefSeq lists it as uncharacterized. NCBI's taxonomy places the organism in Eukaryota, Metazoa, Arthropoda, Insecta, Diptera, Culicidae. The transcript has 3 exons. The record is from RefSeq and is a predicted model, not a curated record.